CGCGUAGGCGGGCUGCCAAGUCCGGGGUGAAAUCCCACGGCUCAACCGUGGAACUGCCCUGGAUACUGGCGGUCUCGAGGGAGGUAGGGGCUUGCGGAACUAUGCGUGGAGCGGUGAAAUGCGUUGAUAUGCAUAGGAACUCCGGUGGCGAAGGCGGCAAGCUGGACCUCAUCUGACGCUGAGGCGCGAAAGCCAGGGGAGCGAACG
This 207-nucleotide ribosomal RNA is filed under the name uncultured bacterium. Its description in RNAcentral is "partial 16S ribosomal RNA". It matches the Rfam family "Bacterial small subunit ribosomal RNA", at positions 568 to 774 of the family's 1533-position model. The record is from RNAcentral.